RNAcentral lists this ribosomal RNA (253 nucleotides) under uncultured bacterium. RNAcentral describes it as "partial 16S ribosomal RNA". It matches the Rfam family "Bacterial small subunit ribosomal RNA", at positions 524 to 776 of the family's 1533-position model. The record is from RNAcentral.
AACGUAGGUGGCGAGCGUUAUCCGGAUUUACUGGGCGUAAAGGGUGUGCAGGCGGGCUGUUAAGUGGUGUAUGAAAUAUCCCGGCUCAACCGGGAGAGGUUAUGCCAGACUGGCAGUCUAGAGAGCGAGAGAGGGACGUGGAAUUCCGGGUGUAGUGGUGAAAUGCGUAGAGAUCUGGAAGAACACCGAAGGCGAAGGCAGCCUCCUGGGGCGUUUCUGACGCUGAUGUGCGAAAGCUAGGGGAGCGAACGGG